GACGAACGCUGGCGGCGUGCCUAAUACAUGCAAGUAGAACGCAGUUGCGAACGGGUGAGUAACGCGUAGGUAACUGCCUCAUAGCGGGGGAUAACUAUUGGAAACGAUAGCUAAUACCGCUUACUGUGAGAUGGACCUGCGUUGUAUUUGCUAGUUGGUGAGGUAAAGGCUAACCAAGGCGACGAUACAUAGCCGACCGUAGAGGGGGAUCGGCCACGUGGGGACGGAGGAACGGCCCAGACUUCUACGGGAGGCAGCAGGAGGGAAUCUUCGGCAAUUGACGGAAGUCUGACCGAGCAAAGCCGCGUGAGUGAAGAAGGUUUUCGGAUCGUAAAGCUCUGUUGUUAGAGAAGCGGUACCUAACCAGAAAGGGACGGCUAACUACGUGCCAGCAGCCGCGGUAAUAC
RNAcentral lists this ribosomal RNA (407 nucleotides) under uncultured bacterium. RNAcentral's name for it is "partial 16S ribosomal RNA". It matches the Rfam family "Bacterial small subunit ribosomal RNA", at positions 28 to 526 of the family's 1533-position model. The record is from RNAcentral.